This 251-nucleotide ribosomal RNA is filed under the name uncultured prokaryote. RNAcentral describes it as "partial 16S rRNA". It matches the Rfam family "Bacterial small subunit ribosomal RNA", at positions 525 to 775 of the family's 1533-position model. The record is from RNAcentral.
ACGUAGGGGGCAAGCGUUGUCCGGAAUUACUGGGCGUAAAGGGCGGGUAGGCGGUUGGAAGAGUCUGGUGUGAAAUUCUCUGGCUUAACAAGGGGGCUGCGCUGGAAACUGGCUGACUGGAGUUCGGUAGGGGUCACUGGAAUCCCCGGUGUAACGGUGAAAUGUGCAGAUAUCGGGGGGAACACCUGUGGCGAAGGCGGGUAACUGGGCCGCAACUGACGCUGAGACGCGAAAGCGUGGGGAGCAAACAG